Non-coding RNA from Salmo salar (Atlantic salmon), 780 nucleotides. The record is from RefSeq and is a predicted model, not a curated record. NCBI's taxonomy places the organism in Eukaryota, Metazoa, Chordata, Actinopteri, Salmoniformes, Salmonidae.
AGGCAUGGAUCAAAGCUGGCGAGACGUUCAAUGAGCCAUCAUCGCAGACGAAUCAACCGUGGCCCUUGAGCAAUUAGCUCAAAAUUGCUACAGAAAAAAGUAAGAUCAAGCAAGCCAAGUCUCAAGCAUCCCUUCAAACUCCAUGUGUGGGGGGCAAUUUCUCGCCAGGGACCAGGCCCAUUUUUUAUGUUUGAUGGUAUCACGGCUCAAGAUUUCUUUGAGGAAGAAAUCUUCAAUAGGUAUACUUAACCCUAUGUCAGAGAGGUGUUUCUGGGACCACAUCGUUUCUUUCAAGACAAUGACCCAAACCAAAUUGAGGGACAACACUGGGCCAAUUGUGUGCCACCAUAUGGGUCUCUCAAUCACAGUUGGAUGAGAUACAGUCUGGAUUCAAACCAGGGACUCUAGUGAUGCCUCUUGCACUGAGAUGCAAUGUCUUAGACCACUGCGCCACUCGGGAGCCAUGACCAAUAGGACCAAUAUAUAUUCUCCAGCUAAUAGCCCAUCCUAGAAACAUGCUCGUGCUAUGCUUGUGAAAAACAUGGUUAAUAAUAAUAAUACUUUUUCCCCCUUCCACUUGUUAAAGUUUCCAAUUGAUAAAGUUUUUUUUAAUCAAUUAGUAUAUUUGAGUUUAACCACAAUAUUUGUUGUAUUAUUUGUUCUGUCUUUUCUGGUGGAUUAAACCAACUUUCUAUGGCUUGUUUUAAAAAAUAACAAUAUUUCGGAGAAUAUUUUAUUUUCAAAAAACCUAAAGUGAGCGAGAAAAAUGCCAUUCUUGAA